Long non-coding RNA from Benincasa hispida (wax gourd), 650 nucleotides. RefSeq lists it as uncharacterized. NCBI's taxonomy places the organism in Eukaryota, Viridiplantae, Streptophyta, Magnoliopsida, Cucurbitales, Cucurbitaceae. The record is from RefSeq and is a predicted model, not a curated record.
AUGAAAAGAAAAAACUAGAUAAAGAAAAGAUAUAAGAAAAAUAAUAAUUAAAAUAGACCCUAAUUAACUUAAUACCCUCCCUCAAACUCAAGGUAGUAAAAUAACAACCAGCUUGAGUUUGUGAAGCGAUCAACUAAAGUUGAUGACGAAACUCCUGAAUAAAAAAUCAAGGUAGAUCUGAUGGAAGACAGAACCCACAAAGAACUAAAACUAGAAUCAAAUAAAUAGAUGAACCGAACUGAAUCAAACUAGUUUGAAUGACCUAACCAGACCAGACUCAAUAAACUGAACUGGAUCGGACCGAUCUAACUGAACUGAACCAAUGAUUUUCCCCGAUUGGUCUGUGAGACAAAGGAUGGUUCUGCUGUGUUUUUGAAAAGGUAUGGAAUUUGGUUAACAAUUUGUUUGUUUCUUUGUCUCUUUGUUUCUUUCUUUUCUUUUCUAAUGGAUAUUGUUGCUUUUAGUUGUGACUGUUCAUUUGAUCAAUCAGGAAUCUCUAGACUUCCAUUUUAAUUUUUUUGGUGUUGAGUUUGAGAUUAGUUUUGAUGUAAUAGUUUUCACAUUAAGUUUGAGAUUCACAUUCACAUUGAGAGUCUAUACUUAUUUUUAUCUGUAUUAACUUAUUUUAUCUAAAGAAGAGCUUUUUACUA